Molecule: transfer RNA, 89 nt
Filed under: Pleonosporium borreri
Lineage: Eukaryota; Rhodophyta; Florideophyceae; Ceramiales; Ceramiaceae
Description: tRNA-Ser
Rfam family: tRNA
About the family: Transfer RNA (tRNA) molecules are approximately 80 nucleotides in length. Their secondary structure includes four short double-helical elements and three loops (D, anti-codon, and T loops).
Source: RNAcentral
GGAGAGAUGGCUGAGUGGUUGAAAGCGGCAGAUUGCUAAUCUGUUGUGCAUUAUUAAUUGUACCGAGGGUUCGAAUCCCUUUCUCUCCU